RNAcentral lists this transfer RNA (72 nucleotides) under Bacillota bacterium. RNAcentral describes it as "tRNA-Pro". It matches the Rfam family "tRNA". From Rfam's summary of the family: Transfer RNA (tRNA) molecules are approximately 80 nucleotides in length. Lineage: Bacteria; Bacillati; Bacillota. RNAcentral also lists the same sequence under 2 other names. The record is from RNAcentral.
CGGGGUGUGGCCCAAUGGUAGGGCACGUGGUUUGGGACCACGGGACUGCAGGUUCGAGUCCUGUCACUCCGA